CUACCUCAAGAUGAGUUUCCUUUUAAGGGUCGUCAAAGACUAUGACGUUGAUAGGCUACAGAUGUAAGGUUGGUAACAACGAAGUCGAGUAGUACUAAUUGCCCGUAAGCUUUAAUUUUUUU
Molecule: ribosomal RNA, 122 nt
Filed under: Filimonas effusa
Lineage: Bacteria; Pseudomonadati; Bacteroidota; Chitinophagia; Chitinophagales; Chitinophagaceae
Description: Filimonas sp. TTM-71 partial 23S ribosomal RNA
Rfam family: Bacterial large subunit ribosomal RNA
Source: RNAcentral